GGAUGUGACUGUAACUUCGCUAGCUAAAAUGCUUGAGAGCGGACCCUUCAUCCCUUUGAGCAUGUUUCUUCCUAAAAUGCGCGGAUACCGGGAGAUCAAGAUGAGGGAUGUCAUGUGCCUUGUGAACUGUCACCCGCCGUGCGAUAUCUCCAAUUCAUUGCAACUGUUUCAGGAUACCAACUGUUGGGCAGAAGCACAAAUGGGAGCGGGUUGAACCCACUUUCACCUACUGAGCAUAUUCCAUACUGGUCAUCAGAAUGUUUAGAUAGUAUGUUAAUAUGUCAGUUGUUAAGCCUAUGAAGAAUAUAUGUUAAAAGAAGCAAUGUGGCCAGGCAAGCUGGCUCAUGCUUGUAAUCCCAGCGCUUUAAGAGGCUGAGGCAGGAGGAUCCCUUGAGGCCAGGAGUUCAAGACCAGCGUGGGCAACAGGCUUCAAAAAAGAAGAAAUGUAAAAGCAGAGAUGUGAACAAGAGAUAGAGUGCAUCUUUGUUGCUUGGGUGCUCCCCCUGUUGUCCAAUGGCAGAAGCUCCACGUCUUCCUCUGAGGGCUGAAUCUGGUUCUACUUGUGCCCAUUGGAUCCUCUUAUUGAUGAGGGUUACAAAGGCCGAGAUUGGCCUGCCAGAGAGACCCACAGCACCUCUUCAGACUUACUACCUUCUUUCCUUUCCUUCUUUUGACAAAUAUGUAUUGAGCACUCCUAGUCCAGGAAUUGUACCAAAUGCCCAGAAUAUAAAUGAACAAGACAUGGUCCUCAACCACCACCCUAGAGACAGGCAUAAAAAGAACUGACAGUAACAAGCCCCUAAUUUCAUGUAGUAAAUUAUAUCUAAUAAAGUGCCUUCGCUUUUCAUGGAAUCUUCGUAGCAACCAUCUGCAGAAGAGGUAUCAUUAUCCCUGAUGAGAAAUGGAGUCUCAAAGAGUUUAACUUAAAGUGGCUCUCUCUGGGCAAAAACUUCAAAGUUCUUUGGAAAUAAAAUGAGUAAUUCAGUCCCCUACCCUCUAAUUAGAUAGUUUGAUGGGUGUAAAGCUAGAUUAUGCUUGUCAGAACAUACACCAGGGUUUGUCUCUUAGUUACACUGGUCUGAACCCAGGAAUUUCAGGAUAGUGAGGAAUAUAACCAAGCAAAUUACACAGAAAAUGACUGUUCACUUACAGUUAGUUCUGCAUACUGAGAACUCGAGUUCUGAAUGGACUAAAGAUAAAGAAGAAAUACAAGUCUUUAGUUUCGAAUUAGAGAGGUCAUAACUCAGAAUCAAGAAUGCAAGAAUUGUCUUGCAGUAUUUUCUUUUCCCUUUAGCAAACUGCUGCCCAUGAUAUAAAACAGUUACAUCCACUGGAACAAAACAGGAACACUUCUUGUCCCAAAUGCAAACUUUAAUUUAUUUUUAUCUUAUUUUAUUUUAUUUUUGAGACGGAGUCUCGCUCUGUCGCCAGUCGUCAGGCUUGAGUGCAGUGGCGUGAUCUCGGCUCACUGCAACGUCCGCCUCCCAGGUUCAAGUGAUUCUCCUGCCUCAGCCUCCUGUGUAGUUGCCUCAGCAAACUUUAAUUUUCCGUUUUUAUCAUCUGGCUCUCCAGGUAGAAACUACCUUCUUUUCUUUUUGAGAUAGAGUCUCCCUCCAUUGCCCAGGCUGGAGUGCAGUGGCACGAUCUCGACUCACUGCAACCUCUGUCUCGUCUCCCAGGUUCAAGCGAUUCUUGUGCCUCAGCCACCCAAGUAGCUGAGACUACAGGCGCACGCCAUCAUGCCCGGCUAGUUUUUGUAUUUUUUGUAGAGACAUGGUUUUGACAUGUUUCCCCGGUUGGUCUCAAACUCCUGGCCUCAAGUGAUCCACUCGCCUCUGCCUCCCAAAGUGCUAGGAUUACAGGCAUGAGCCACCACGCCCGGCCUGUUGUUGUUUUAAUGUUCUUCCAGUUUUCGUCAAUAACCGCAUAUUUCUUUCGUUCUUUUUUGUUUUGUUUUGUUUUUUGAGACACGGCUAGAGUGCAGUGGCACAAUCACGGCUCACCACAGUCUCCACCUCCUAGGCUCACGAGAUACUCCCACCUCAGCCUCCCCAGUAGCUGAGACUACAGGCUCAUGCCACCAUGCCCAGUUAAUUUUGUUGUUGUUGUACUUUUAGUAGAGACAGUGUUCUGCCCUGUUGCCCAGGCUAGUCACAAACUGCUAGGCUCAAGCAAUCCACACGCCUCAGCCUUCCAAAGUGCUAGGAUUACAAGUGUAAGCCACCAUAUUUCUUUCUUUUUUUUGGAGGCGGGGGCCGGGGAGACAGGGUCUCACUCUGUCGCCCAGGCUGGAGUGCAAUGGCGCGAUCUCAGCUCACCCCAACCUCUGCCUCCCAGGUUCAAGUGAUUCUCCUGCCUCAGCCUCUCAAGUAUCUGGGAUUACAGGCACACACCACUACCACCCAGUUAAUUUUUGUAUUUUUACUAGAGACAGGGUUUCACCAUGUUGUCCAGGCUGGUCUCAAACUCCUGACCACAAAUGACCCACCCGCCUGGGCCUCCCAAAGUACUGUGAGCCACCGUGCCUGGCCCUAGCCACAUAUUUCUUUUGUAAUUCUAAAAAUAUUGUUAUAGAAGUAGGAAAAAAUUUAUCUUGGUUUAUCUCCUGCUGAAAAUGGGCUCUCUCCUGCCUAGGGUUACAGCAAAGUCAAACCUAGAGUCUCUUGAGGCCAGGCAAGGUGGCUUAUGCCUAUAAUCCAGCACUUUGGGGGGCCAAGGUGGGAGGAUUACUUGAGGCCUGGAGUUCAAGACCAGCUUGGGCAACAUAGGCAGACCUCGUCUCUACUAAAAAUAAAUAAAGAAAUAAGUAGUCAGGUGUGGUGAUGUGCACCUGUAGUUCCAGCUACUUGAGAGGCUGAGGAGGGAGAAUUGCUUAAGCCCAGGAGAUGGAGGCUGCAGUGAGCUGUGAUCACACCACUGCACUCCAGCCUGGGCAAGAGAGUGAGCACCCUGUCUCAAAACAACAACAACAACAAACCCUAGAGUUGUUUGUAUGACAGACAAAAUAAUUUUUAAAUGUUUUAUUGAAGUAACAACAUACAAAAAAGUUGUAGAGUAGUACAACCCACUGAAAUUCCACAAACUAACUGGACACUCCCAUCGUAAUCAGCAAUGAGAACAUGGCUAGCAGCCAGGCACAGUGACUCAGGCAUGUAAUCCCAGUAUUUUGGGAGGCCGAAGCAGGCAGAUCACCUGAGGUCAGGAGUUCGAGACCAGCGUGGGCAACAUGGUGAAACCCUGUCCCUACUAAAUACAAAAAUUAGCUGGGCAUGGUGUUGCACGCCUACAGUCCCAGCUACUUGGGAGGCUGAGGCUGGAGAAUGGCUUGAACCCCAGAGGCAGAGGUUGCAGUGAGCUGAGAUUGUGCCACUGCACACAAGCCUGGGUGACAGAGUGAGACUCUCUCUCAAAAAAAAAGGAGUGGGGGGAACAUAUCUAGCACCCCUAGAAGCUUGCCUUAUGUCCUCUUCUAAACCCUCCAGCUUGGGCAACAGAGCAAGACCCUGUAUCUAAAGGAUAGCAGCAUCCUGACUUCUAUCCCUGUAGCUUAGUUUUGCCAGCUUUUAAACUUGAUAUUUAAAUCAUACAGUAUGUACUUGGGCUUCUUUCACUCAGUAUUAUGUUUGUAGAAUUCAUCUAAGUUGUCCUAUGUAAUAAUAGUCCACUCAUUCUUAUUGCUGUAUAGAAUUCCACUGUAUGAAUCUCUGAUUCAUUUAUCUAUCCAAUUGUUGAUGAGCAUUUGGAUAGUUUUCAGCCCGGGGCUGUUAUAAAUAAAGCUAUUACCAACAGCCUCUGGGUGAACAUAUGUUUACUUUUUUUUGUUGUUGUUGUGACAGAGUCUCACUGUGUCACCCAGGCUGGAGUGCAGUGGCACAAUCUUGGCGCACUACAACCUCCACCUCUCAGGUUCAAGCAAUUCUCCUGCCUCAGACUCCCCAGUACCUAGGAUUACAGGUGCGUGCCACCACGCCGGGCCAAUUUUUUUUUUUUUUUUUUUUUUUUGAGAUGGAGUCUGGCUCAGUCGCCCAGACUGGAGUGCAGUGGCGCGAUCUCGGCUCACUGCAACCUCCACCUCCUGGGUUCAAGCAAUUCUUCUGGCUCAGCCUCCUGAGUAGCUGGGACUACAGGCACAUGCCACCACCAAUUUUUGUAUUUUUAGUGGAGAUGGGGUUUCACCGUGUUAGGAUGGUCUUGAUUUCCUGACCUCAUGAUCCACCUGCCUCAGCCUCCCAAAGUGCAGGGAUUACAGGCGGGAGCCACCCCCAGCCGACAACUAAUUUUUAAAAAUUCUUCUGGUGUAGGAUAUUCUCUCUGAUCAACACUGCCCUCAGCCCAUCAUGUAAUUUGCAUGGUUUAUGUGCAUAUAUACCCUCACCGAUAUGUCUAUUUUACACCUCUGUCAGUUUGGCACAUGUUCUGCAAGACGGCAACUUUCUUCCCUUAGGUUUCUGCAGUGUUGGGGAAGGGAUAUAGUCCUCCAAUGUUAACAAGUUAUUCUGGAGAAGAACCAAUGAGUUCACCUGCCUAGGUCAAUCUAAAUCAGGUGUUUUACAUUAAAAAUUUCCCAUUGUUCUUCAGCUUGUUCUUGUGAAAUACUAUUCUACCCUCUGGUCCCAGAACAAAACAGCUGACUCCUCAGAGCACUUGCACCUGCUUCACUACCCAGGGGGACAGAUACCCAGGCUGAGAACUGUAGCUGUGGCAGAACCAUGCUCCCACCAGGGGUAUUCAUGGUUGGAGCUCUCUUAGGAGCUUCGAGAGCUUUCUUCUUCUUCUUCUUUUUUUUUUUUUUUUUGAGACAGGGUCUCACUCUGUCGCCCAGCCUGGAGUACAGUGGUACAAUCUCGGCUCACUGCAGCCUCUGCCUCCUGGGUUCAAGCAAUUCUCCUGCCUCAGCCUCCUGAGUAGCUGGGAUUACAGGCAUGCACCACCACAUUGGGCUAAUUUUUUUGUAUUUUAGUAGAGACGGGGUUUCACCAUGUUGCCCAGGCUGGUCUUGAACUCCUAAGCUCAGACAAUCUGCCUGCCUCGGCCUCCCAAAGUGCUAGGAUUACAAGCGUGAGCCACUGUGCCCGGCCCCCCAAAUAGAUUUUUAAUAAGCGCAUGAAACGAUGAACAUAUUUGUUUCCCAGUUUCCCAACACAUUAUGACUUCUUUGAGGGUAAGGACAAGCUCAUGCCCAUCUCUGGAUUAGCAGCACCUAGCCCAGUGCUUGCAUAUCAGAGUGGCCCAAUAAAUGUUAAAACGCAUACUCUCUGUUUGAAAUGGAUGGAAAG
This 5276-nucleotide long non-coding RNA is filed under the name Homo sapiens (human). RNAcentral describes it as "non-protein coding lnc-HYOU1-1:6". Lineage: Eukaryota; Metazoa; Chordata; Mammalia; Primates; Hominidae. The record is from RNAcentral.